GCCCGGGUGGUGAAAUAGGUAGACGCAGGAGACUCAAAAUCUCCCGCCGAGAGGCGUGCCGGUUCGAUUCCGGCCCCGGGCACCA
This 85-nucleotide transfer RNA is filed under the name Candidatus Kinetoplastidibacterium galati TCC219. RNAcentral describes it as "tRNA-Leu (CAA) (tRNA-Leu-CAA-1-1)". It matches the Rfam family "tRNA". From Rfam's summary of the family: Transfer RNA (tRNA) molecules are approximately 80 nucleotides in length. Their secondary structure includes four short double-helical elements and three loops (D, anti-codon, and T loops). The record is from RNAcentral. Lineage: Bacteria; Pseudomonadati; Pseudomonadota; Betaproteobacteria.